CUUCGGACUGCUGUGUAUAUCAUUUUGCAACCAAAUAUGCCUUGUGCUUUUGAAUUGUGCCAUCUACAUUGUACUUGGUUUUAUAGAUCCACUUCAAACCAAUCACAUUUCUUCCGUUGGGCAUAUUCACUAACUCUCAAAUUGGAUUGAAAUGCUUGCUCCAAACGCUGAUUUGAGAACCUGCUCAUUCUUCCUUCAUGUGCUUCAAGGGAUCCCAUCAACUCAAAUAUGGCAAACAAGGUGUCUCCACAAUUUGCUGCCAUGGAGACUUGCAGGAGAGUGUUGCUAACUUGAAAAAACUCAAGCGUGGAAUAAGCUUUUGAUACCAAAAUUUCUUGGCGUAUGCAAGAAGCAUGGUGUGAAGUAUAUU
Long non-coding RNA from Juglans microcarpa x Juglans regia, 370 nucleotides. RefSeq lists it as uncharacterized. The record is from RefSeq and is a predicted model, not a curated record. NCBI's taxonomy places the organism in Eukaryota, Viridiplantae, Streptophyta, Magnoliopsida, Fagales, Juglandaceae. The transcript has 3 exons.